This 301-nucleotide ribosomal RNA is filed under the name uncultured bacterium. RNAcentral's name for it is "partial 16S ribosomal RNA". It matches the Rfam family "Bacterial small subunit ribosomal RNA", at positions 509 to 807 of the family's 1533-position model. The record is from RNAcentral.
CAGUAGCCGCGGUAAUACGAAGGGUGCAAGCGUUACUCGGAAUUACUGGGCGUAAAGCGUGCGUAGGUGGUGGUUUAAGUCCGUUGUGAAAGCCCUGGGCUCAACCUGGGAAUUGCAGUGGAUACUGGGUCACUAGAGUGUGGUAGAGGAUAGUGGAAUUUCCGGUGUAGCAGUGAAAUGCGUAGAGAUCGGAAGGAACAUCUGUGGCGAAGGCGACCACCUGGACUGAUACUGACACUGAGGUGCGAAAGCGUGGGGAGCAAACAGGAUUAGAUACCCCGGUAGUCCCUGUCUCUUAUAC